AGUCGACGGGAAGACUGAAGAGCUUGCUCUUUAUGAAAUCCAGUGGCAAACGGGUGAGUAACACGUAAACAACCUGCCUUCAGGAUGGGGACAACAGACGGAAACGACUGCUAAUACCGAAUACGAUUCUUGAGUCGCAUGACACAAGAAAGAAAGGGUGGCCUCUACUUGUAAGCUAUCGCCUGAAGAGGGGUUUGCGUCCGAUUAGGUAGUUGGUGAGGUAACGGCCCACCAAGCCGACGAUCGGUAGCCGGUCUGAGAGGAUGAACGGCCACAUUGGAACUGAGACACGGUCCAGACUCCUACGGGAGGCAGCAGUGGGGAAUCUUCCGCAAUGGGCGAAAGCCUGACGGAGCAACGCCGCGUGAGUGAAGACGGCCUUCGGGUUGUAAAACUCUGUGAUUCGGGACGAAAGAUAAGUAGACGAAUAAUCUGCAUAAGUGACGGUACCGAAAAAGCAAGCCACGGCUAACUACGUGCCAGCAGCCGCGGUAAUACGUAGGUGGCAAGCGUUGUCCGGAAUUAUUGGGCGUAAAGCGCGCGCAGGCGGCUACUUAAGUCCAUCUUAAAAGUGCGGGGCUUAACCCCGUGAUGGGAUGGAAACUGGGAAGCUGGAGUGUCGGAGAGGAAAGUGGAAUUCCUAGUGUAGCGGUGAAAUGCGUAGAGAUUAGGAAGAACACCGGUGGCGAAGGCGACUUUCUGGACGACAACUGACGCUUAGGCGCGAAAGCGUGGGGAGCAAACAGGAUUAGAUACCCUGGUAGUCCACGCCGUAAACGAUGGAUACUAGGUGUAGGAGGUAUCGACCCCUUCUGU
RNAcentral lists this ribosomal RNA (816 nucleotides) under uncultured bacterium. RNAcentral describes it as "bacterial SSU rRNA". It matches the Rfam family "Bacterial small subunit ribosomal RNA", at positions 60 to 844 of the family's 1533-position model. The record is from RNAcentral.